Galeopterus variegatus (Sunda flying lemur) is the source of this 74-nucleotide non-coding RNA. The record is from the annotation of a RefSeq genome assembly. NCBI's taxonomy places the organism in Eukaryota, Metazoa, Chordata, Mammalia, Dermoptera, Cynocephalidae.
GGCCAGUUAGCUCAGUUGGUUAGAGUGUGAUGCUGAUAACACCAAGGUCACAGGUUCAUUCCCUGUACUUGCCA